CCUACGGGGGGCAGCAGUGGGGAAUAUUGGACAAUGGGGGCAACCCUGAUCCAGCCGUGCCGCGUGUGUGAAGAAGGCCCUCGGGUUGUAAAGCACUUUCAGUGAGGAAGAACGCCUGGUGGUUAAUACCCAUCAGGAAAGACAUCACUCACAGAAGAAGCACCGGCUAACUCCGUGCCAGCAGCCGCGGUAAUACGGAGGGUGCGAGCGUUAAUCGGAAUUACUGGGCGUAAAGCGCGCGUAGGUGGCUUGAUAAGCCGGUUGUGAAAGCCCCGGGCUCAACCUGGGAACGGCAUCCGGAACUGUCAAGCUAGAGUGCAGGAGAGGAAGGUAGAAUUCCCGGUGUAGCGGUGAAAUGCGUAGAGAUCGGGAGGAAUACCAGUGGCGAAGGCGGCCUUCUGGACUGACACUGACACUGAGGUGCGAAAGCGUGGGUAGCAAACAGGAUUAGAUACCCUGGUAGUC
This 465-nucleotide ribosomal RNA is filed under the name Vreelandella stevensii. Its description in RNAcentral is "partial 16S ribosomal RNA". It matches the Rfam family "Bacterial small subunit ribosomal RNA", at positions 338 to 795 of the family's 1533-position model. The record is from RNAcentral. Lineage: Bacteria; Pseudomonadati; Pseudomonadota; Gammaproteobacteria; Oceanospirillales; Halomonadaceae.